UCCCUGAUCUACCAUGGAUAGCCCAGUGC
Molecule: non-coding RNA, 29 nt
Filed under: Homo sapiens (human)
Lineage: Eukaryota; Metazoa; Chordata; Mammalia; Primates; Hominidae
Source: RNAcentral